Molecule: transfer RNA, 76 nt
Filed under: Erythrobacter litoralis HTCC2594
Lineage: Bacteria; Pseudomonadati; Pseudomonadota; Alphaproteobacteria; Sphingomonadales; Erythrobacteraceae
Also listed under: 3 other names
Description: tRNA-Thr (TGT) (tRNA-Thr-TGT-1-1)
Rfam family: tRNA
About the family: Transfer RNA (tRNA) molecules are approximately 80 nucleotides in length. Their secondary structure includes four short double-helical elements and three loops (D, anti-codon, and T loops). Further hydrogen bonds mediate the characteristic L-shaped molecular structure. tRNAs have two regions of fundamental functional importance: the anti-codon, which is responsible for specific mRNA codon recognition, and the 3' end, to which the tRNAs corresponding amino acid is attached (by aminoacyl-tRNA synthetases). tRNAs cope with the degeneracy of the genetic code in two manners: having more than one tRNA (with a specific anti-codon) for a particular amino acid; and 'wobble' base-pairing, i.e. permitting non-standard base-pairing at the 3rd anti-codon position.
Source: RNAcentral
GCCGGCUUAGCUCAGUUGGUAGAGCAGUUGAUUUGUAAUCAUCAGGUCAGGGGUUCGAUUCCUCUAGCCGGCACCA